CCUACGGGUCGCUGCAGUGGGGAAUAUUGGACAAUGGGCGAAAGCCUGAUCCAGCCAUGCCGCGUGUGUGAAGAAGGCCUUCGGGUUGUAAAGCACUUUCAGUGGGGAAGAAAGCCUUGGGGCUAAUACCCUCGAGGAAGGACAUCACCCACAGAAGAAGCACCGGCUAACUCCGUGCCAGCAGCCGCGGUAAUACGGAGGGUGCGAGCGUUAAUCGGAAUUACUGGGCGUAAAGCGCGCGUAGGCGGUCUGAUAAGCCGGUUGUGAAAGCCCCGGGCUCAACCUGGGAACGGCAUCCGGAACUGUCAGGCUAGAGUGCAUGAGAGGAAGGUAGAAUUCCCGGUGUAGCGGUGAAAUGCGUAGAGAUCGGGAGGAAUACCAGUGGCGAAGGCGGCCUUCUGGACUGACACUGACGCUGAGGUGCGAAAGCGUGGGUAGCAAACAGGAUUAGAUACCCUAGUAGUC
This 465-nucleotide ribosomal RNA is filed under the name Vreelandella stevensii. Its description in RNAcentral is "partial 16S ribosomal RNA". It matches the Rfam family "Bacterial small subunit ribosomal RNA", at positions 338 to 795 of the family's 1533-position model. Lineage: Bacteria; Pseudomonadati; Pseudomonadota; Gammaproteobacteria; Oceanospirillales; Halomonadaceae. The record is from RNAcentral.